Molecule: ribosomal RNA, 497 nt
Filed under: uncultured bacterium
Lineage: Bacteria
Description: partial 16S ribosomal RNA
Rfam family: Bacterial small subunit ribosomal RNA
Source: RNAcentral
GAUGAGCGCUGGCGGCGUGCCUAAUACAUGCAAGUCGAGCGAACGGACGAGAAGCUUGCUUCUCUGAUGUUAGCGGCGGACGGGUGAGUAACACGUGGAUAACCUACCUAUAAGACUGGGAUAACUUCGGGAAACCGAAGCUAAUACCGGAUAAUAUUUUGAACCGCAUGGUUCAAAAGUGAAAGACGGUCUUGCUGUCACUUAUAGAUGGAUCCGCGCUGCAUUAGCUAGUUGGUAAGGUAACGGCUUACCAAGGCAACGAUGCAUAGCCGACCUGAGAGGGUGAUCGGCCACACUGGAACUGAGACACGGUCCAGACUCCUACGGGAGGCAGCAGUAGGGAAUCUUCCGCAAUGGGCGAAAGCCUGACGGAGCAACGCCGCGUGAGUGAUGAAGGUCUUCGGAUCGUAAAACUCUGUUAUUAGGGAAGAACAUAUGUGUAAGUAACUGUGCACAUCUUGACGGUACCUAAUCAGAAAGCCACGGCUAACUACGUG